GAUCCGUUAGCUCAGUCGGUAGAGCAUUUGACUUUUAAUCAAAGGGUCUCGGGUUCGAAUCCCGAACGGGUCACCA
This 76-nucleotide transfer RNA is filed under the name Candidatus Faecalicoccus intestinipullorum. RNAcentral's name for it is "tRNA-Lys". It matches the Rfam family "tRNA". From Rfam's summary of the family: Transfer RNA (tRNA) molecules are approximately 80 nucleotides in length. Their secondary structure includes four short double-helical elements and three loops (D, anti-codon, and T loops). Further hydrogen bonds mediate the characteristic L-shaped molecular structure. tRNAs have two regions of fundamental functional importance: the anti-codon, which is responsible for specific mRNA codon recognition, and the 3' end, to which the tRNAs corresponding amino acid is attached (by aminoacyl-tRNA synthetases). tRNAs cope with the degeneracy of the genetic code in two manners: having more than one tRNA (with a specific anti-codon) for a particular amino acid; and 'wobble' base-pairing, i.e. permitting non-standard base-pairing at the 3rd anti-codon position. RNAcentral also lists the same sequence under 1 other name. Lineage: Bacteria; Bacillati; Bacillota; Erysipelotrichia; Erysipelotrichales; Erysipelotrichaceae. The record is from RNAcentral.